This 475-nucleotide ribosomal RNA is filed under the name uncultured organism. RNAcentral's name for it is "partial 16S ribosomal RNA". It matches the Rfam family "Bacterial small subunit ribosomal RNA", at positions 331 to 798 of the family's 1533-position model. The record is from RNAcentral.
GUACACUCCUGCGGGAGGCAGCAGUGGGGAAUUUUGGACAAUGGGCGAAAGCCUGAUCCAGCAAUGCCGCGUGAGUGAAGAAGGCCUUCGGGUUGUAAAGCUCUUUUGUCAGGGAAGAAACGGUGAAAGCUAAUAUCUUUUGCUAAUGACGGUACCUGAAGAAUAAGCACCGGCUAACUACGUGCCAGCAGCCGCGGUAAUACGUAGGGUGCAAGCGUUAAUCGGAAUUACUGGGCGUAAAGCGUGCGCAGGCGGUUUUGUAAGUCUGAUGUGAAAUCCCCGGGCUCAACCUGGGAAUUGCAUUGGAGACUGCAAGGCUAGAAUCUGGCAGAGGGGGGUAGAAUUCCACGUGUAGCAGUGAAAUGCGUAGAUAUGUGGAGGAACACCGAUGGCGAAGGCAGCCCCCUGGGUCAAGAUUGACGCUCAUGCACGAAAGCGUGGGGAGCAAACAGGAUUAGAUACCCCAGUAGUCCAU